Molecule: ribosomal RNA, 326 nt
Filed under: uncultured Bacteroidota bacterium
Lineage: Bacteria; Pseudomonadati; Bacteroidota
Description: bacterial SSU rRNA
Rfam family: Bacterial small subunit ribosomal RNA
Source: RNAcentral
GAUGAACGCUAGCGGCAGGCUUAACACAUGCAAGUCGAGGGGCAGCGAGGGUAGCAAUACCUGUCGGCGACCGGCGCAAGGGUGCGUAACGCGUGAGCAACAUGCCCGUAUCAGGGGGAUAAUCCAGGGAAACUUGGUCUAAUACCCCAUAGUAAUUUUUGUAGGCAUCUAUAGAAAUUUAAAGCUUUGGUGGAUACGGAUUGGCUCGCGUGACAUUAGCUAGAUGGUAGGGUAACGGCCUACCAUGGCUACGAUGUCUAGGGGUUCUGAGAGGAAGAUCCCCCACACUGGAACUGAGACACGGUCCAGACUCCUACGGGUGGCAG